GCCAGACUCCUACGGGAGGCAGCAGUGGGGAAUAUUGCACAAUGGGGGGAACCCUGAUGCAGCGACGCCGCGUGGGUGAAGGAGCGUUUCGGCGCGUAAAGCCCUCUCGGCAGGGAAGAAGGAGGACGGUACCUGACUAAGAAGCCCCGGCUAACUACGUGCCAGCAGCCGCGGUAAUACGUAGGGGGCAAGCGUUAUCCGGAUUUACUGGGUGUAAAGGGGGCGCAGACGGCAGCGCAAGCCAGGAGUGAAAGCCCGGGGCCCAACCCCGGGACUGCUCUUGGAACUGCGCGGCUGGAGUGCAGGAGGGGCAGGCGGAAUUCCUGGUGUAGCGGUGAAAUGCGUAGAUAUCAGGAGGAACACCGGUGGCGAAGGCGGCCUGCUGGACGGCGACUGACGUUGAGGCCCGAAAGCGUGGGGAGCAAACAGGAUUAGAUACCCCUGUAAAC
RNAcentral lists this ribosomal RNA (449 nucleotides) under uncultured bacterium. RNAcentral describes it as "bacterial SSU rRNA". It matches the Rfam family "Bacterial small subunit ribosomal RNA", at positions 330 to 795 of the family's 1533-position model. The record is from RNAcentral.